AUACGUAGGUGGCAAGCGUUGUCCGGAAUUACUGGGCGUAAAGGGUGCGUAGGCGGUUGUUCAAGUCAGAUGUGAAAUACCCGGGCUUAACCUGGGGGGUGCAUUUGAAACUGGAUGACUGGAGUGCAGGAGAGGAAAGCGGAAUUCCUGGUGUAGCGGUGGAAUGCGUAGAUAUCAGGAGGAACACCGGUGGCGAAGGCGGCUUUCUGGACUGUAACUGACGCUGAGGCACGAAAGCGUGGGGAGCGAACAGGAUUAGAUACCCUGGUAGUCCACGCUGUAAACGAUGGAUACUAGGUGUAAGGGGACACGACCCCCCUUGUGCCGGAGUUAACGCAAUAAGUAUCCCGCCUGGGGAGUACGGCCGCAAGGUUGA
RNAcentral lists this ribosomal RNA (376 nucleotides) under uncultured bacterium. RNAcentral's name for it is "bacterial SSU rRNA". It matches the Rfam family "Bacterial small subunit ribosomal RNA", at positions 523 to 897 of the family's 1533-position model. The record is from RNAcentral.